UCAGUUAUGUGAUGUGUUUGUGUCACCAUAAAAAGCUGAUAUUCAGUCGUGUUUUUUGAUAUUUUUGUUAUUUCAUAAUCGAGUACCUUUUUAAAGGUCUAAUGGCUCCGUUCAGCUGUUGUGUGCAGACGGUGGAAAAAUUCGACAAGUAAACAUUUAUUUA
This is a long non-coding RNA of Diabrotica virgifera virgifera (western corn rootworm), 163 nucleotides long. RefSeq lists it as uncharacterized. NCBI's taxonomy places the organism in Eukaryota, Metazoa, Arthropoda, Insecta, Coleoptera, Chrysomelidae. The record is from RefSeq and is a predicted model, not a curated record. The transcript has 2 exons.